UACAGAGGGGGCAAGCGUUGUUCGGAAUUACUGGGCGUAAAGCGCACGCAGGCGGUCUUUUAAGUUUGACGUGAAAGCUCCCGGCUUAACUGGGAGAGGUCGUUGAAGACUGGAAGACUUGAGGCAAUGAGAGGGGUGUAGAAUUCCCGGUGUAGUGGUGGAAUGCGUAGAUAUCGGGGGGAAUACCAGUGGCGAAAGCGGCACCCUAGCGUUAGCCUGACGCUCAUGUGCGAAAGCGUGGGGAGCGAACGGG
Molecule: ribosomal RNA, 253 nt
Filed under: uncultured bacterium
Lineage: Bacteria
Description: partial 16S ribosomal RNA
Rfam family: Bacterial small subunit ribosomal RNA
Source: RNAcentral